UCAGACGAUGCGUCAUGCAUAUCAAUAAGCGGAGGAAAAGAAACUAACAAGGAUUCCCCUAGUAACGGCGAGUGAAGCGGGAAGAGCUCAAAUUUGAAAUCUUAAAGGGUUUCCCUUUACGAAUUGUAGUUUAAAGAAGUGUUUUCUGUUGAGGUUUUGGUAAAAGUUCUUUGGAAUAGGACAUCAUAGAGGGUGAGAAUCCCGUAUUUGACCUUUACUUUCAACUUUGUGAUACACUUUCAAAGAGUCGGAUUGUUUGGGAAUGCAGUCCAAAAUGGGUGGUAAAUUUCAUCUAAAGCUAAAUAUUGGCGAGAGACCGAUAGCGAACAAGUACCGUCGAGGGAGAGAUGAAAAGAACUUUGAAAAGAGAGUUAAACAGUACGUGAGAUUGUCAAAAGGGAAGCGUUUGACACCAGUGUUGUUUUUCUGAAAAUCAAUUAAAGAACUGUUUAUGCUAAGUUGUUUAGACUUUAUCAGCUAUCUGUUUAGUUUUGAGCUUUUCUUUAAUGCACUUUUCAGUUAACAAGUCAACAUCAAUUUCUUUUGCUGUAAAAAAGCUUGAGGAAGGUGGCUUGAGAUUCGUCUUAAGUGUUUAUAACCUCUUGCCUAUGCAGUCGGAGAGAUUGAGGUCUGCAGCGUAGAUCCUUCGGGGCUAAAUGCAUUUGUGCUAAGUUAUAGCAUUUUAUAGACAACUUGUUGACUAUGAUUUGUCUUGUAGCUUACUCGCUUAUGUUAUUUUACCUACGCUUAUGAUGUUGAGCGCAUGUCUCUCUCU
Molecule: ribosomal RNA, 775 nt
Filed under: uncultured Neocallimastigales
Lineage: Eukaryota; Fungi; Neocallimastigomycota; Neocallimastigomycetes; Neocallimastigales
Description: partial large subunit ribosomal RNA
Rfam family: Eukaryotic large subunit ribosomal RNA
Source: RNAcentral